RNAcentral lists this ribosomal RNA (502 nucleotides) under uncultured bacterium. RNAcentral's name for it is "partial 16S ribosomal RNA". It matches the Rfam family "Bacterial small subunit ribosomal RNA", at positions 28 to 507 of the family's 1533-position model. The record is from RNAcentral.
GACGAGCGCUGGCGGCGUGCCUAAUACAUGCAAGUCGAACGAACCGCGACUGAGUGCUUGCACUUGGUCAAGGUGAGUGGCGAACGGGUGAGUAACACGUGGGUAACCUACCUCAUAGUGGGGGAUAACAGUCGGAAACGACUGCUAAUACCGCAUAGGACAUAGGAUCACAUGAUCCAGUGAGGAAAGGUGGCGCAAGCUAUCGCUAAGAGAUGGACCCGCGGUGCAUUAGCUAGUUGGUAGGGUAAAGGCCUACCAAGGCGAUGAUGCAUAGCCGACCUGAGAGGGUGAUAGGCCACAUUGGGACUGAGACACGGCCCAAACUCCUACGGGAGGCAGCAGUAGGGAAUCUUCCGCAAUGGACGCAAGUCUGACGGAGCAACGCCGCGUGAGUGAAGAAGGUCUUCGGAUCGUAAAGCUCUGUUGUUAGAGAAGAACAGCGCAUAGAGUAACUGCUAUGCGUGUGACGGUAUCUAACCAGAAAGCCACGGCUAACUACGUG